Long non-coding RNA from Calidris pugnax (ruff), 3128 nucleotides. RefSeq lists it as uncharacterized. The transcript is spliced from 4 exons. Lineage: Eukaryota; Metazoa; Chordata; Aves; Charadriiformes; Scolopacidae. The record is from RefSeq and is a predicted model, not a curated record.
CCACCACCUUUGGGGUGAGAUCUCCUGAAUAGUGAAACAUCGCUUUAGUUUCUCUGGGUAUGGAUGAUGCAUGUGUCAUUUAUUGGUUUUAGUUUAAUGUUAAUAGAAGGUAAGUUAACUGAUUAAUUUAGGGCAUUUGCUUUGAAUGUUUCCUUAGUUAUUAAAGCAUUAUUUAUAUUAUAAUAUAGACUGGUAUUGCAGUUACUUCCACUUCUUUAGAUCUGCCCUAAAUGAGAAGUGUUGCUGUCCCCAACAAGGCGGUGGGGAAUAACAACCCCCUUGAACUCUAGCAUAAGUGUGAGGUUAGAGUAGAUAAUACUAUAGUGGCAUUUUUGCUAUUAAACCAAAUAAUAAUUAUAUAUAUAUAAUAUAUAUAUUUUAUAUAUAUAUAUAUAAAAUCACAUUAAACCAAAGUCUGUGUAGUAGAGUAGGGUAUGUUUAGGUUGGCCUUUGAUUCAGAGCUGGGUUGUGUCCAUUGAGGAGUAGCAUAUUGUUUAAGUAGGCCGUAAAAUUUCCUCGUAGUCUUGACAAAUUCUUGAUUCAGACAUAGAUUUACCCAUGUGGAAUUUGGGGAAGUUAGAGACACUCAGCUCUUCCUCAUUAGGAUAACAGAGGAAUAUCUAGAAGCGUGUUAAACAAUCCCUCUAAAUCAGCAUCCACUGUCUAAGUCACAGCAAUGCUUUGCUUGAAGUGACAAAACUGGUUUGAUAAGAUGCAGUCAUGUCAGAGCUGGAAGUACAAAAGUGCAUUUAUUAAAAAUGAAUGCUGUAUCCUCUUUCCCCUCGUGUAUCUUGUCACUGACAUGACUUCACAAGUUGCAAAUCUAUUAAACAUUUCAAACAUGAAACGAGCUCAUUAAGCAAAAUGUUGACUGGAAUAUAGCAAACUGUUUCAGACUCAAGACAGUUAAUAUUUGUCUCCAGAGUUUUUUGUCUUCUAGGUUGUCACCAAGCAAUCCAGCUGUCUGGGAAUACAGUUUAUGUUUCAUCUGAUCAGAGUCUGACUGUCCUUUGGGGUGAGGUAGUAGGUUGUAUAGUUUUAGGGUUAUGCCCUGCCUGUCAGAUAACUAUACAAUCUACUGUCUUUCCUGAAGUGGCUGUGAUAUCAUCGUGGGAUAUGUCUUCAAAGACAAAGCAAGUAUAUUUCAACCAUAACAGUCUCUGACUCUGUCUACAUGUUGGAUUUGGUUCUUGUAGCAGGAUUAUGAAAGAACACAGAUGUCCUUACAGUGUUUAGAUUCCUUUAUUUCUCAUUCAGAUUCAGAAGAAAUUUCCUCAGAGAAGGAGGGGUGUAAGUGACAGGGCACAGAGGUAUGACCCAAUCUGCAAUAGGCUUGUUCAUGCUCAGCUUUCUCAGACUGCCAUGAGAGUGGCCAUUUGGAAACAGCUGACCCAUUUCUCCAUGACUUUGUGGCAUUUGUGUUUAUAUUCAGUGGAAAAUGCCACUUUUGAUUCAGCAGCUAUUUAAAUGUACUUUACAUAGGCUGUUUGAGAAAUUAUGAAGUGAAUACUUGGACAAAAACCAAAGAGGAUGUCUUCCAGUUGUUCAUAUUUUGCCCUGGAAGUGGUAAAUGCUUGAUCCCUAAGUAAAGAGGUUUCUUUAAUCAGUUUUUAUAUGCUGAUUUAACUUGCUUUUUUAUUACAUAAUGCUAAUUUGGGAGGGACAGUGCAUGCCACUGUGGUUCUUACGUCUCUGGAGUCAGCCCACCAAUUUCUGACUGACUUCCAGGUAGAAUUGUGAGGAAGGGCCGAGAGGAGGUAAUUGUGGUCUUUUGAAGGCUAGAAAUAGGUGAGCUAGAGGGUCCUUGGGGAAUCUUAAUUGCAAAAGGUGAAAUGUUAGUUUCCUUCAGAAGAUGUGCUUGAUGCUCUAACAGGAUGAGGUAGUAGGUUGUGUGGUUUCAGGGUAGUGAUUUUGCCCCAAUCAGGAGAUAACUAUACAACCUACUGCCUUCCCUGAUAAGCAGCAUAACAACAUCAGUGUCUUAAUUCACAGAAAAACAAGAGCUAAAAUACACUUCUGAGACCAGCAAAGUAAGUCCAGAUACAGUUGUUGUUAUCCUGUCCGUAAUAGCUCUAAAUUUAGUGUCUUGCAUUGUUUUUUAAUAACUGCUUGCAAAAUAAUUAUCUACUUAAAAGUCUUUAUCAUGAGAAAUUGAAUUAAAGAACUUUUGCUUAUUUCAAAGUUUGUCUGCUCUUGAUUUGUUUCAUUUCUGAUUCAUUUGAGUGGAAUGAAGUUACUGUGGGAAAUUAUUCAAAAAAUGCUGUGAACUUUCCUUCAAGGUGUUCGUAUUUCCUUGACUUCUUAGUUUGUGUGCAACAAAUUUUACUUGUUUUGUUCAACCUUACCUCCCCUUCAGGAACCUUCCAGUGUUCUACAAAUAAUACCAGAUUAAGUCACACAACAUUCUCCAGCAGAGGAUCCCUUAAUUUGAAACUGCUGUAAGGAUACUUACCAUGCUGGCCAUGUUCAAGGGCUGCGGGACAUGCAUUGCAGAUUCUGAACUCUCUUUCUUCUGCUGAAAAUGCAGACUCACAGCUGCAGUGUAAACAUCUUCGAUGAGCAUGGAUAAUGUGAGACCUCGCAGCAAACGCAGGGUGACAUGAGCACAGGGCAGAGCUGCACAGAGCCACCUGCAUUAAACACUCUCCAUCAAGAUGCAAAGCAAAACAGCUGGCAAGAGGGAGGAAAGCUGUAAUUACAGCCAAUAAAUGACUCCUGAGCCAACACCUGCUGCUGAGCCCCUGGUUUUGAAACAGAAACAGGAGCUUUUUCCCUUCCUAGGGCAACGUGGUUACCUGAAGAGAGAGCAGGCAAGAUGAGAAAGGCAUCGGUACCGACAGGGAAAGGGGUGACAACGUGCCCAUUAGGUGAACUGCAUGUGGAGACUGCAAUGAGAAAUGCUGCACAGGGAGAACAAAAAUUCCUGAUUUCCAAAUAGCCUGUCCAGAAUGUAGCCUACUGAACUGGCCACCUGGCUUUCGGGAUGUUUAGCGAUGCUCUGCAGUGGUAAGAAACUGAAUACUCUGUAAGCAUUACAGUUCUGUCUCACCUUUUAACUCUCUAUGGUCAUUUGUUUAGUACUAACAGCGUGCAUCGUAUUUUAGAGCAGUAAAAAAUUGUUAUGCUUG